GCACAACGCGAAGAACCUUACCUGGGUUUGACAUACACCGGACCGCCCCAGAGAUGGGGUUUCCCUUGUGGUCGGUGUACAGGUGGUGCAUGGCUGUCGUCAGCUCGUGUCGUGAGAUGUUGGGUUAAGUCCCGCAACGAGCGCAACCCUUGUCCUGUGUUGCCAGCACGUAAUGGUGGGGACUCGCAGGAGACUGCCGGGGUCAACUCGGAGGAAGGUGGGGACGACGUCAAGUCAUCAUGCCCCUUAUGUCCAGGGCUUCACACAUGCUACAAUGGCCGGUACAGAGGGCUGCGAUACCGCGAGGUGGAGCGAAUCCCUUAAAGCCGGUCUCAGUUCGGAUCGGGGUCUGCAACUCGACCCCGUGAAGUCGGAGUCGCUAGUAAUCGCAGAUCAGCAACGCUGCGGUGAAUACGUUCCCGGGUCUUGUACACACCG
Molecule: ribosomal RNA, 438 nt
Filed under: uncultured bacterium
Lineage: Bacteria
Description: bacterial SSU rRNA
Rfam family: Bacterial small subunit ribosomal RNA
Source: RNAcentral